Molecule: ribosomal RNA, 492 nt
Filed under: uncultured bacterium
Lineage: Bacteria
Description: partial 16S ribosomal RNA
Rfam family: Bacterial small subunit ribosomal RNA
Source: RNAcentral
AGUGAACGCUGGCGGUAGGCCUAACACAUGCAAGUCGAACGGCAGCACAGUAAGAGCUUGCUCUUACGGGUGGCGAGUGGCGGACGGGUGAGGAAUACAUCGGAAUCUACUUUUUCGUGGGGGAUAACGUAGGGAAACUUACGCUAAUACCGCAUACGACCUACGGGUGAAAGCAGGGGAUCUUCGGACCUUGCGCGAUUGAAUGAGCCGAUGUCGGAUUAGCUAGUUGGCGGGGUAAGGGCCCACCAAGGCGACGAUCCGUAGCUGGUCUGAGAGGAUGAUCAGCCACACUGGAACUGAGACACGGUCCAGACUCCUACGGGAGGCAGCAGUGGGGAAUAUUGGACAAUGGGCGCAAGCCUGAUCCAGUCAUACCGCGUGGGUGAAGAAGGCCUUCGGGUUAUAAAGCCCUUUUGUUGGGAAAGAAAAGCAGCAGGUUAAUACCCCGCUGUUCUGACGGUACCCAAAGAAUAAGCACCGGCUAACUUCGUG